GACGAACGCUGGCGGCGUGCUUAACACAUGCAAGUCGAACGGUAAGGCCCUUCGGGGUACACGAGUGGCGAACGGGUGAGUAACACGUGGGUGAUCUGCCCUGCACUUCGGGAUAAGCCUGGGAAACUGGGUCUAAUACCGGAUAGGACUCCUGGCUGCAUGGUUGGGGGUGGAAAGCUUUUGCGGUGUGGGAUGGGCCCGCGGCCUAUCAGCUUGUUGGUGGGGUAAUGGCCUACCAAGGCGACGACGGGUAGCCGGCCUGAGAGGGUGACCGGUCACACUGGGACUGAGAUACGGCCCAGACUCCUACGGGAGGCAGCAGUGGGGAAUAUUGCACAAUGGGCGCAAGCCUGAUGCAGCGACGCCGCGUGAGGGAUGACGGCCUUCGGGUUGUAAACCUCUUUCAGCUAUGACGAAGCGCAAGUGACGGUAGUAGCAGAAGAAGGACUGGCCAACUACGUGCCAGCCGCCGCCGUAA
Molecule: ribosomal RNA, 478 nt
Filed under: uncultured bacterium
Lineage: Bacteria
Description: partial 16S ribosomal RNA
Rfam family: Bacterial small subunit ribosomal RNA
Source: RNAcentral